GCGUUGAUUGCUCAGCGGCAAAGCAGUGGGACGGUACCCCACCUGUCCCGGGUUCAAUUCCCGAUCGACGCU
Non-coding RNA from Phthorimaea operculella (potato tuberworm), 72 nucleotides. Lineage: Eukaryota; Metazoa; Arthropoda; Insecta; Lepidoptera; Gelechiidae. The record is from the annotation of a GenBank genome assembly.